This 24-nucleotide non-coding RNA is filed under the name Arabidopsis thaliana (thale cress). Lineage: Eukaryota; Viridiplantae; Streptophyta; Magnoliopsida; Brassicales; Brassicaceae. The record is from RNAcentral.
UCCAAUGUGUACACCGCAUCUGCC